Molecule: non-coding RNA, 372 nt
Organism: Mirounga angustirostris (Northern elephant seal)
Lineage: Eukaryota; Metazoa; Chordata; Mammalia; Carnivora; Phocidae
Source: the annotation of a RefSeq genome assembly
AUGGCCUGGUCCCCUCUCGUCCUCAGCCUCCUCACUCACUGCACAGGGUCCUGGGCCCAGUCUGUGCUGACUCAGCCGCCCUCCAUGUCUGGGGCUCUGGGCCAGACGUUCACCAUCUCCUGCACUGGAAGCAGCUCCAACAUCGGGGGUGGUUAUGGUGUUAAGUGGUACCAACAGCUCCCAGGAAAAGCCCCCAGAACCGUCAUCUAUUAUGAUAGCAAUCGACCCUCAGGGGUCCCAAAUCGAUUCUCUGGCUCCAGGUCUGGCAGCUCAGGCACCUUGACCAUCACUGGGCUCCAGGCUGAGGACGAGGCUGAGUAUUACUGCUCAGCGUCAUCCGGGUCCUUGUUAGGGGGAAAAGGAACAAAAUAG